AAGUAUUCCGGUAGGGCACAUUGUGCCGACAACAAUUAUAUAUAUUUGAAGGUACUACUAUCGAGGAUUCUCCGUGAGUAACGUGUAGUCUGCAGAGUUGUCCAUCAACCAUCCAUCUUGAGUGAGGAUCAAACCUAAACUUUGAGCAAGGUAAACGACUCACUUACCACGAGACCAAUGAAUGGUUGGUAAAUCCAAUCCUCAUUCAAGAUUUAUGUAAGGAAUUGAAUUAGG
This 234-nucleotide long non-coding RNA is filed under the name Panax ginseng (ginseng). Its description in RNAcentral is "long non-coding RNA (PGIN_LNC008460)". The record is from RNAcentral. Lineage: Eukaryota; Viridiplantae; Streptophyta; Magnoliopsida; Apiales; Araliaceae.